Non-coding RNA from Rattus norvegicus (Norway rat), 5861 nucleotides. NCBI's taxonomy places the organism in Eukaryota, Metazoa, Chordata, Mammalia, Rodentia, Muridae. The record is from RefSeq and is a predicted model, not a curated record.
CAGCUUAAGGAAGGAAGGGCUCAUUCUUGGCUUAUAGUUUGAGGAGAAACAUUCGCCAUGGUUAAAAAGGAAGAGCAGCAGGAGCAGGUGGCUGACUGGUCAGAUUGUAUCCGCUGCCAGGAAACACACAGCUGAACUGGAUAUUGGACUAGGCUACAGAACUGCAGCACCUGCCCAGAGUGACCUACUUCUAGCUAGGCUCCCCGCCACGAAAACAGUCUAUGUCCUUCCAAAUCGUCGACCCCAGCUGGAACAAGGUGUUCGAAUACAUGAUCCCAUGGGGAACAUUCUGCAUUUGAACCUCAGCAUGUGGGACAGAUGCUCGAUUGGUCAGCGAGAACCAAGGCAGAAGAGCUGGAGCCUGCCGUGAUGAGGCAGGCUGUUUCUUAGGUGCAUCACUUUAAUCUAAGAGGGAGCAGGAAGCCAAAGCCAGGAGGAGAUAUAAGGACUGGGAAAAUAGAUCCUCCAAGAACAGAAGAGAGGCCAUAGAAAGAAGUAAAAGAAAUUCUGGAGACGCAACAGUGAGCAAAACAGAUGCCCGGCUCUUGUGGGAAGGAGACACAGUAAGCCAACAGGCAGACGAGCGUGUGAAAAACAUCAGAAGAGACUAUGGCAGAUCCGGUUAGGCUGCUGACCAGUGUGCUCCAGGGAUGAUGAGCCCAUUUCUUCCUACUAGUGCUGGGGUUACGAGCGGAGCGGGCACACGACGCUGAACAGGUUGUAACAACAUGUUGUAACAGGUUGUAACAGGUUUUGGAAUGAAAGCUCUGUUCCUUCCGUUUUCGUGGUGGAUACAUUAUAACAGCCCAUCUGCCCGGGCUCCUGGUCUUAGACCUCCCCCAAACCUGGAGAGCAACACCCCAUGGCUCCUGAUGUGUGUCUCCUUCAGGUCCCGAGCGUGACUGGCUUUGUUCCCUGAUUUCUCAGUCUCUGCUUCACCGCCAGACUUGGUUGGGCAUUUACUCAGCAACAUCUGGAAAAAUGAUUCUACUGCUCCAUGUUUCAGCUUUCGAGAAUGCGUGCCUUUCUUUCAUCUCAGGGCUGUUCUGUGAUGGCCUCAAGGUUUUGGUUUUUUUUAACCUCUGUGCCAAUUUGAAGAAAACAUUGUAUAAGGGCGUUUUAGCUCCGUGUUAAGUGGAUAGAGAAAAAGAAGUACAAUUAUAGGUGCACCCUGGUUUGGAAAAAUGGAUGCACGGAAAUUCUUAUAAUCCGUCUCUGUUUGGAGAUCUUUCGUGGUUAAAAUUUCCACCGUUUUCCUUCAGAUAAUUUCUCCAGUGUAGUUAAAAUAAGCACAGAUUUUUUUUUCCCCACAAAAUGGAGUCCUUAUCCAACUGGUCAACCUCCGUAGAAAUUCACUCACUAGAUAAAGACGCGUGUGCAUUCUGAUACCCUCUCCUCCACUCAGCACACACGCUGAGGCACGGUGCUCUUCCAUUUCUGGAAACUCUACUCAGCCGUCCCCUUCAUGCCUGCGUACACUAGUCAGCUUUCUCCCGCUGUCCCCAACGGCUGAGAGAAUCAGUCCGUUUACAAAGAGAAAAGCUUUACUUGGCUCCCAGUUUGGGAGGUUCAUUGUUUUUUCCUUUUUAGGGUAUGUGUGAUGUGAUGUGGUGUGCGUGUGUGUGUGUGUGUGCUGUGUGUGUGUGUGUGUACAUGCUCAUAUGUGCUUGUGCAUGUAGGCCCAAAGCUGCCCUUGGACAUCCUCCUCAAUCACUUCUCCACCUCAUCUUUUGACACAAGAUCUCUCACCAAACCUGGAGCUCACUGACUUGACUAGGCUGGCCGGCUUUGUGAGCCAUAGGGAUCUGCAUGUCUGUCUUCCCGUGGCUGGGAUUACGGGUGCCAUGCCUGGCUUUUUCCAAGUAUGCUGGAGAUCCGGGAUUGGGGGUCUCAGGCUUGUGUGGUACUUUGCAGUCCAUCUCCAUCUCCCCGGUCCCUAGCCUUGGAGGUUCAGCUCACCAUGUAUUGGCUCUGUGAAGCAGCUUGCUGGCAUCAUGUGGCAAAAUGAUCACCUCAGGACCAGAACAGGAAAGAGAGGAAGAGGAAAAGACUGGUGUGCCAAUAUCCCCUUAAGGGCAUGCCCCUGAUGACCAGAGUCCCUUUCAUGAGACUUCUCAAGCAUUUUUCCAUCUUCUGAACGAACAUGCUGGGAACCAAGCCUUUAACAGCUGGGUUUUCCAAACUGUAGCACCACCCACAGACUUGGCUUGGCCCAGAUUCUGGAGCCAGAACCAGGAACCCCUGGCUCAAUGGCUUACUUUUGGUCCAAAACCUACUUCAUCCACUUCCCCUUCUCUUUGCUCCUGUUUCCCACAAACCCCUUCAGAAGUUGUCCAUGCUAAUGGACUCAUUUUCUCUCCUUUACGUCUUGACUCCAUUUAGAUCAAGCUACCACCUCUUAAACUGCUUUUUUCAAGGACACCAACCAAAUCUAGUGAAGACAGCUCUGUCGUCUGCCAAGUUGUCCUCACAGUGGCCCAUUGCUCUUUCUGCUCUGAACUCUUUUCCUUUUUAUGAAACAGGGUUUUUUUUUUUUUUUUCUGUGUAACCCCACCUAUCCUGGAACUUACUCCUUAAACCAGGCUGGCGUUGAACCCAGAUCCACCUGCCUCUGCCUCCUGAGUGCUGGCACCAAGGGCAUGCGCCAACCAAGCCAACACAACUCCCUCUUUACUUGGCAUCUGGACCCUCCUUAUCCGAUGUUCCCCCUUCCACUCUGAUCACUCUUUGCUGUUUUCUCCUUCCCUCCCCAAUCUUUAUCCACUGGAAUAUUCUAGAGCUCAGUUCUUGAGACUGAACAGAAGAGCGUCCUGUAGCAUCCCAUCCCAUCCCAAUCUCAUUGUCUUAGCACCCAAACUAAAUGACAGGGAGUGCAAGACCUGGCUCCUCCCAGCUAGAAAUGUCUCUUGGCAUUCAUCGGGUCCUCAAGACCCCCCACCCCUCUGUGUGUGUGUAUUUAAAGCAUCCACUGUGCUAUGUGACUCAUCUAUGCAGCCUUGUUCCUUCCUCUACUUUCUUUCUGUAGCUCUGCCCCAGGAGAACUUCCUAAUAAGCAUCGUGUGUUCUGAGUGCCACCACACAUGCAUACCACUGCCUGGGGACCCAGCUUGUGAACUGACCUCUCUGCUACUCCUCAACUCUUCAAGCACCCCCUUUGCCUCAGAGCUUUAGUGAUGGGUCUUCCUUGGCUUGCUUUCCUGUAUUCAAACUCGAUCCCUUUCUCCCUUCAAGUCUCUACUCCAACAUCCUAUGGCAUUCUUUGAUGACCUUAGGCAGAAUGGCAACUGCCACCAUCAACACCACCAUCAGCGCUCCACCAGCUCCCUUAGUAUCUCAGAUGUCCUGUAGUUUUUAUCCUCAGCAGAUCCACAUUCCCUUGUUUUUCUCUCGGUGUACUCCAGCUUCCCAAGGGCAGAGACUUGACUAUUUUGUUUCCUGCUAUUUAUAGAACAGCUAGAACAGAGUCUGUUUGGUAUCAAGUCAGGAUGGAGAUGAUGGCUUUGCUCUGCCUCAGUUCUUGUCACUUGCUCACCUGCAUUAUCUCUCUGGGGAAGGUUCCAUCCUGAGGGCCACUGCUUUCUUUCCUUCUCAUUGUCAAUAUCUAACAGAGGCGUUGUAGGGGGGGAGGGACUUUGUUAGGGCUGAUGGCCUCAGAGUGUUCAGUUUCUUGCCCCAACCCCCAGUGCUUGGAUAAAACAUGGUGGCAGACAAAGGAGCUUCUUCAUGGGGGCCAGAAGGCAGAGGAAAGGGAUAGGGGGAGGAGUUACUGCAAGGUGUAGCCCAGGGACAGGGCGCCAGUGACUUAUUCCCUUCAAGGAGGCCUUAUGUCUGUCUGUAUCCUUCAGCACCUCCCAAUAACACCAUCAGAUGAUGACUCCACGAAGGAACCAGCCCACGCAUUAAGUCAAAGUUAUCACCAGAUAAACUGUUUCUAGAGACAUCCUUCAGAUGUCUCCAAACCUAAGCUUUGUUAAUCCACAAAGAGUCUCUGAAUAUAACCAAGUUUAGGAUUAAAAUGAACCACCUCAAUUGCUUUCUGCCUUGAUCCCCAUUCCUCUGAUGCUUGAUGUUGGCCUUGAUCCCAAAGGGAUGGGCACACGCUACCACACUGAGCUACAUCUCUGGUCCUGAUUCUAUUAUACCCUCUGUCUUAGUUAGGGUUUUACUGCGGUGAACAGACACUAUGACCAAGGCAACUCAUAUAAGGACGACAUUUAAUUGGGGUUGGCUUAUAGGUUCAGAGGUUCAAUCCAUCAUCAUCAAGGUGGGAGCAGGGCAGCAUCCAGGCAGGCAUGGUGCAGGCAGAGCUGAGAUUUCUGUAUCUUCACCUGAAGGCUGCUAGCAGAAUACUGAUUUUCAGGCAGCUAGGAUGAGAGUCUUAGAGCCCACACCCACAGUGACGCACCUACUCUAAUAGGGCCACACCUACUCCAACAAGGCCACACCCAUUCAUUCCAACAGGGCCACACCCACUCCAACAAGGCCACACCUACUCCAACAGUGCCAUUCCCUGGGCCGAGCGUAUAGAAACCGUCAUAUCCUCCAAGGCUAAGAAUCUGCUUUGAGGCCUCCUCAGCCUUUUUAGAAGUUUUAAUCUGGUAUUCAGGUCCCAGUACCCAAAAGGAAUCCCACCUCUCAAGCUUCAGAGGCCCUUGUAUCGUCCAUUGUUAAAACAUACCGAAGUCAAAGACCUCCUCCAUCAAUGUCCUACCAACCCAAGAUCUGUCCAGCCUUUCUGAAAACUACAUUCAAAUUAGUGGCCCCAUCUCCACUUCUGCAUCCCAGAGGUCACUGACCCAGGGGAGGAGGGUCACGCUGGGGUCAGGGUAGCCUGGGACACACAACACCCUCAGCAGGAUGCUCUGAGACCAGGCAGUCCCUUGGCUCAAAAGAAAACAAUUCCUGUGGACUAUUAGUAUGAUGUGGAAUUUCAUGAUAAUUCCAUACAUACUUUAAGUAGGAAAAUCUCAUUGUCAGCCAAGUUUGCUAGGUCCAGAGUUUGCUAUCUCACUUACAAGAAAACAUGGCUUCACCUCCAAAGGGUACUUAUAUUUUAUCUACUCAGUGCUAAGGCUGGAACCCAGGGCCUCACUCAUAUUAGGCAAGAACUCUACCAGUGAGCUGUAUCCCAGACCCCUGAAGGGUAGCAGCCUUCCCGAACAGCUAACAAAAACCGUACUGGAUUAGCGGCGAGCUUCUCUUUGCUACCCCACGUUUGCCAGAUCUAAUGGAAACAGUUUGUUAGAUCUUGCCAAACACAGAAAGUUUCUCUCGUUCCCACCACUUCGCUAUUGGAAAGGAAGGGAGUUGCUGCUGCAGAGGUCGGGUGUGGUAUAUUUAACUGAGUGCCAGAAGCAAAUUCAACACAAAUAACCAAUGUGGGCAGAUUGCACAAUUCUCAAGUUAUUUUUGUGAUGGGCAAUGUUUUUCUUUUUCAUUCCAUUUUCCUUCCUCUCGAGCUGGCUAAUGAUUUCCAAUGAAGACAAAAGCGCGAUACACUUAUCGCCCGGUGGACUCGUGCAUCCCUGGGAGAUCUUGUGUUGAUACUCUGUUUUGAUGGAUUCCCAGCAGAGUAGAUACGGGGAAGGAGUCACUGUUGGGACCUUUCCCUCUGUAACUUGGAAGUGGGUCACCCUCAGCUCAGCGAAGUCAACACAACGUCACAAAAUAAGGUCACGGCAACUUCUGGAGUCUGAGAAAAGCAAAGCCACGUGCAGACACAUUGUGAAAGUGCACUUAAUAUUCUGCCUGACUGGGUAGGACGCUUCCUCGGCCAACCCGGUGAGCCGUCUCAUGUUGGUUUGGCAGGCGACCUCAGUGGAGCAUGUGAUGUCCACACUCAGUACCAUGCAAUUCGCCCC